Molecule: ribosomal RNA, 425 nt
Filed under: uncultured bacterium
Lineage: Bacteria
Description: bacterial SSU rRNA
Rfam family: Bacterial small subunit ribosomal RNA
Source: RNAcentral
UGGGGAAUAUUGGACAAUGGGCGCAAGCCUGAUCCAGCCAUGCCGCGUGAGUGAAGAAGGCCCUCGGGUUGUAAAGCUCUUUUGUCCGGAAAAAAAAGCUUUCGGUUAAUACCCGGAAGUCCUGACGGUACCGGACGAAUAAGCACCGGCUAACUUCGUGCCAGCAGCCGCGGUAAUACGAAGGGUGCAAGCGUUGUCCGGAUUUAUUGGGUUUAAAGGGUGCGUAGGCGGUCUUGUAAGUCAGUUCUGAAAUAUCCCGGCUUAACCGGGAGGGUGGGAUUGAUACUGCAGGACUUGAGUGGAGUCGAGGUAGGCGGAAUUGACGGUGUAGCGGUGAAAUGCUUAGAUAUCGUCAAGAACACCGAUAGUGUAGACAGCUUACUAGUCUCAAACUGACGCUGAGGCACGAAAGUGUGGGGAUCAAA